Molecule: ribosomal RNA, 1557 nt
Filed under: Staphylococcus aureus
Lineage: Bacteria; Bacillati; Bacillota; Bacilli; Caryophanales; Staphylococcaceae
Description: 16S ribosomal RNA
Rfam family: Bacterial small subunit ribosomal RNA
Source: RNAcentral
UUUUAUGGAGAGUUUGAUCCUGGCUCAGGAUGAACGCUGGCGGCGUGCCUAAUACAUGCAAGUCGAGCGAACGGACGAGAAGCUUGCUUCUCUGAUGUUAGCGGCGGACGGGUGAGUAACACGUGGAUAACCUACCUAUAAGACUGGGAUAACUUCGGGAAACCGUAGCUAAUACCGGAUAAUAUUUUGAACCGCAUGGUUCAAAAGUGAAAGACGGUCUUGCUGUCACUUAUAGAUGGAUCCGCGCUGCAUUAGCUAGUUGGUAAGGUAACGGCUUACCAAGGCAACGAUGCAUAGCCGACCUGAGAGGGUGAUCGGCCACACUGGAACUGAGACACGGUCCAGACUCCUACGGGAGGCAGCAGUAGGGAAUCUUCCGCAAUGGGCGAAAGCCUGACGGAGCAACGCCGCGUGAGUGAUGAAGGUCUUCGGAUCGUAAAACUCUGUUAUUAGGGAAGAACAUAUGUGUAAGUAACUGUGCACAUCUUGACGGUACCUAAUCAGAAAGCCACGGCUAACUACGUGCCAGCAGCCGCGGUAAUACGUAGGUGGCAAGCGUUAUCCGGAAUUAUUGGGCGUAAAGCGCGCGUAGGCGGUUUUUUAAGUCUGAUGUGAAAGCCCACGGCUCAACCGUGGAGGGUCAUUGGAAACUGGAAAACUUGAGUGCAGAAGAGGAAAGUGGAAUUCCAUGUGUAGCGGUGAAAUGCGCAGAGAUAUGGAGGAACACCAGUGGCGAAGGCGACUUUCUGGUCUGUAACUGACGCUGAUGUGCGAAAGCGUGGGGAUCAAACAGGAUUAGAUACCCUGGUAGUCCACGCCGUAAACGAUGAGUGCUAAGUGUUAGGGGGUUUCCGCCCCUUAGUGCUGCAGCUAACGCAUUAAGCACUCCGCCUGGGGAGUACGACCGCAAGGUUGAAACUCAAAGGAAUUGACGGGGACCCGCACAAGCGGUGGAGCAUGUGGUUUAAUUCGAAGCAACGCGAAGAACCUUACCAAAUCUUGACAUCCUUUGACAACUCUAGAGAUAGAGCCUUCCCCUUCGGGGGACAAAGUGACAGGUGGUGCAUGGUUGUCGUCAGCUCGUGUCGUGAGAUGUUGGGUUAAGUCCCGCAACGAGCGCAACCCUUAAGCUUAGUUGCCAUCAUUAAGUUGGGCACUCUAAGUUGACUGCCGGUGACAAACCGGAGGAAGGUGGGGAUGACGUCAAAUCAUCAUGCCCCCUAUGAUUUGGGCUACACACGUGCUACAAUGGACAAUACAAAGGGCAGCGAAACCGCGAGGUCAAGCAAAUCCCAUAAAGUUGUUCUCAGUUCGGAUUGUAGUCUGCAACUCGACUACAUGAAGCUGGAAUCGCUAGUAAUCGUAGAUCAGCAUGCUACGGUGAAUACGUUCCCGGGUCUUGUACACACCGCCCGUCACACCACGAGAGUUUGUAACACCCGAAGCCGGUGGAGUAACCUUUUAGGAGCUAGCCGUCGAAGGUGGGACAAAUGAUUGGGGUGAAGUCGUAACAAGGUAGCCGUAUCGGAAGGUGCGGCUGGAUCACCUCCUUUCUAA